GACGAACGCUGGCGGCGUGCUUAACACAUGCAAGUCGAGCGGUAAGGCCCUUUCGGGGGUACACGAGCGGCGAACGGGUGAGUAACACGUGGGUGACCUGCCCUCAGCUCUGGGAUAAGCCUGGGAAACCGGGUCUAAUACUGGAUAUGACUCCAUGACGCAUGUUGUGGGGUGGAAAGCCUUGUGCGGCUGAGGAUGGGCCCGCGGCCUAUCAGCUUGUUGGUGGGGUGANGGCCUACCAAGGCGACGACGGGUAGCCGGCCUGAGAGGGCGACCGGCCACACUGGGACUGAGACACGGCCCAGACUCCUACGGGAGGCAGCAGGUGGGGAAUCUUGCGCAAUGGGCGAAAGCCUGACGCAGCGACGCCGCGUGAGGGAUGACGGCCUGGUGUAAC
Molecule: ribosomal RNA, 397 nt
Filed under: uncultured bacterium
Lineage: Bacteria
Description: bacterial SSU rRNA
Rfam family: Bacterial small subunit ribosomal RNA
Source: RNAcentral